RNAcentral lists this long non-coding RNA (555 nucleotides) under Calidris pugnax (ruff). RNAcentral's name for it is "lncRNA (ENSCPUG00000013177.1)". Lineage: Eukaryota; Metazoa; Chordata; Aves; Charadriiformes; Scolopacidae. The record is from RNAcentral.
AACCUCAGAACAUACAACUUGUAUUUAUUUUAACUAGGCAAAUUCUCAUUUGUUUACUUGCUUUAUAGAGCAUAACUGAUAGUGGCAAUGUGGAAGAAAAUCUCUGCAUGGUUAUAAAAAUGAGAAUUUAAAAAAAAAAUAGUUCAGAGUGUUCUUUGUGCUAUGGCUGAAGCUAACUCUUUGGUUCUGAUGGAAAUUCUGGAAAUUCAUCACAGUUGAUGCUUAUGUAGGUGGAGUGGUAAUAAACCUGCAGUUUUUAGACUUGCGUGAGUAGGUAUGUGUUGAUUUAAAAAUAAAAGAAUGACACUUUUUUUUUUCUUGUAGACAAGAGGGAACUUCUGGAAAUUGCGAAAGCCAACGCUGCAAAAGCUCUGGGCACAGAUAACAUAGUCUUGCCAGCGAGCUUGAAGAUCCUUACUCCUUCCAAAGAGAUAAAAAAUGAAAAACAGGAGCAUGAAGAUCCUGGAGAGUCAGCUGAGCAACCCAGAAGACUUGCAGAAGACGUGACCAAAAGUGGGAUGGAGAGAGCAACCAUACAGAGGAGCAUUUCUUUCA